UACGAAGGGGGCUAGCGUUGCUCGGAAUUACUGGGCGUAAAGGGCGCGUAGGCGGCGAUCCGAGUCAGAUGUGAAAGUCCUGGGCUUAACCUGGGGACUGCAUUUGAUACUGGAUUGCUUGAAUUCGGGAGAGGAUAGCGGAAUUCCCAGUGUAGAGGUGAAAUUCGUAGAUAUUGGGAAGAACACCGGUGGCGAAGGCGGCUAUCUGGACCGACAUUGACGCUGAGGCGCGAAAGCGUGGGGAGCAAACAGG
This 253-nucleotide ribosomal RNA is filed under the name uncultured bacterium. RNAcentral's name for it is "partial 16S ribosomal RNA". It matches the Rfam family "Bacterial small subunit ribosomal RNA", at positions 524 to 776 of the family's 1533-position model. The record is from RNAcentral.